UUUUUUUUUUUUUUUUUUUUUUUUUAACUUUAAAAAUAGUUAUCUUGGGAGUUCCCAUUGUGGCACAGUGGUUGAUGAAUCCGACUAGGAGCCAUGAGGUUGCGGGUUCGAUCCCUGCCCUUGCUCAGUGGGUUGAGGAUCUGGCGUUGCUUGAGCUGUGGUAUAGGUCUCAGGCACGGCCCGGAUCCCGCGUUGCUGUGGCUCUGGUGUAAGCCGACGGCUACAGCUCCAAUUCGACCCCUAGCCUGGGAACCUCCAUAUGCCACAGGAGCGGCCCAAGAAAUGGCAAAAAGACAAAAAAAAAUAAUAAAAUAAAAUAAAAAUAGUUAUCUUUUAAGAAGAGUAUUAAAUUUCUAGAGCAAUUGAGUAGGUAACAUAGUUCCCACACACUCUCCUUCUCCAUACAGUUUCCCCUUAUUUUUUUAACAUCUUGCAUUAGUGGGAUAAGUAAUUAUAACUAAUAAUUGCAAUUAAUGAACCAAUAUUAAUACAUGAUUAUUAACUAAGCUCUGUAAUUUGCAUCAAGGUUUAUUUAUUUAUUUAUUUUGUCUUUUUAGGGCUGCACCCGAGGCAUACGGAGGUUCCCAGGCUGGGGGUUGAAUCAGAGCUUUAACCAUUGGCCUACAUCACAGCCAGAUCUGAGCCAUGUCUGCAACCUACGCCACCGCUCACAGCAACGCUGGAUCCUUAACCCACUGAGCAAGGCCAGGGAUCGAACCUGCGUCCUCGUGGAUGUUAGUCAGAUUCGUUCCCGCUGAGCCACAACAGGAAUUCCAAGGUUUACUCUUGCCAAUGUACAUGCUACAGGUUUUUUGACACAUGGCUAAUGUCACCUACCCACCAUUAUUGUGUCAUGCAGAACUGUUUUGUAAAAAUCCAUGUGAGGCACCUGUUCACUCCUCGUGCCUCCCCCCAAACCCCUGGCAAGCACUAUCUCUUUACCGUCUCUACAGUUUCGCCUUUUCCAGAAUGUCAUGUAGUUGGAAUCACACAGUAUAUAACCUUGCACCUUGGCUUCUUUGACUCAGCAACGUGCAUUUAAGUUUCCUCCACGUCUUUUUGUGUGGAUUGCUCUUUGCGUUUCAUUGCUGAAUAACACUCCAUGGUAUGUCCGUACCUGCUGUUUAUCCAUUCACUUAUUUGAGAACAGCUUGGUUGUUUUCAGUUUGGGGUAAUUACGGAUGAAUCUGUUAUAAACAUUCUUCUGCAAACUUUUGUAUGGACACGUUUUCAACUAUAGUGUGUAAAUACCAAGGAGAGUGAUUGCUGGAUUAUAUGAUAAGACUGUUUAGCUUUGUAAGAACCUGCCGAACCAUCUUCCAAAGUGACUGUAGCAUUUUGCAUUCCUGUCAGCAAUGUAAGAGAGUCCCUGCUGCUCCCUGGUGUCACCAGGUAUUGUCCAGUUUGGGGAUUUUAGCCAUUUAAGUAAGUGUAUAGGGGUAUCUCAUUAUUUAAUUUGCAAUUACCUAAUGCUGUGGGAUAUUGAGCAUCUUUUCAAAUGCUUAUUUGCCGACUGUAUGUCUUUUUUGGUGAGGUGUCCAUUUAUACUUUUUUUUUUUAAUUCAAUGAAUUUAUCACAUCUCUAGUUGUAUAAUGAUCAUCACAAUCCAUUUAUAUCUUUUGCCCCUUUUUCAACUGGGUUGUUUGUUUCUUACUGCUGAAUUUUUAGAGUUCAUUGCAUAUUUUUAUCAGAUAUGCAUUUGCAAAUGUUUUCUCCUAGACUGUGGCUCAUCUUUUCAUUUUCCUUACUGUGUCCUUUGCAGAGCAGAAGUUUCAACUUUUAAUAAAGUUUAACUUACCAAUUUUUUCUUUCAUGAACUGUGGUUUUCCUAUUGCUGAAAACAAAAAUACACUGUACUUUCAAUGCGUCACCAACCUUAAGGUUAUAUAAAUUGUCUGUCAUCUUCUAGAAGUUUCACAGUUUUGCAUUUUACAUUUAGGUUUAUGAUCCAUUUGGAGUUAAAUUUCACAAAAGACGUAAAGUCUGUGUUUAGACUCAUUCUUACCAUAGAUUUAGCAAGCGCAGCAUAUGAUUUUUUUCUUUAUUAAGUCCAGAACUUUCACCUUUUCACUUAAAGGGAGCAUUUUAUGGCUUCUGCUUGGCAUAUCAGAAUUACCAGCAUCACUCCUCUUGUGGCUACAUUAUUAAGUAAAAGGUCUGCUCGAGCAUAGGCUCUGUGUCACCAGUUCAGUCAAUCCGAUAAGCACCAUGGCUGCUAAAUGCCAGGCAAAUUUGUGGGGCAAAAGGACUCCUGGGUGGGACGGAGCAGGACUGUUGUAAGUUUCUUCACAUUACUCAGAAAGGCAUGCAAUUUAAAAUGUAUGAACUGUUUGCUGUUGGACUUCCCCAUUUAACAUUUGGAAAGUGAAACCCCAGAUAAAGGGGGAACCAGGGCAGGUAAGGUUUUUUUUCCUCCCUAUGGCUUUUUUCCAGGAUGUUCCUUCUGACUUUGGUUUUCUGCAGUUUGGAUAUAAUAUACCUAAGUGUGGUUUUUUGGGUGUUUGUCCUGCUUUGUAUACUCUGAGCCUCCUAGAUUUUUGGUUUGGUGCCUAUUAUUCAUUUUGGAAAAUUCUCACCCAUUAUUAUUUCAGGCUGGUUUUUUAAAAUCCUGCCUCUGCUGUGACGAGAGAAGUAAGCAAGCUACCUAAACUUCCUAAGCCUUAGUUUCCUUACCUGUGUACUGGUAACAGACACGUGUUACAGGAUCAGUGAGGCGGAGAUGAGGUCAAGCUUUGUACAGUUUUAUCACUGAGUGAUGGUGGGGGCUGGUGCUUAGUGUGAGCUAUGGCAUAAAGGGAACUGUCACGGAGCCGGCAGUGAGACGGACAUCAGGCCCACAGGCCAAAGUCCUUAGUUAGUCCUGAAGCCACUCAUAUGAUCAGGAAUUCACAGAAGGGGAACGAGGGGCAGGGCCCAAAGUGAGCCUCAGAAUUGACAGAACAUCCUGAGCUCCAGACAUCUUGGAAUUGUCCCCGUGAGUUACCAGGCCCACUAGUAAACCCCAUAUAUUUUCUCUAGCAUCAGUUAUGUGCUUGUGUCUCCAGAACAGUCUCACAAAAUAAAAGUUUUAUGAGGGCAAAAGUCAGGCCACCCCUCCCCAGACUCCGAGCUGGCUCAGUGAAGAUAGCAGCUCCACAUCCAGCAAUGUCCCAGUGUAGUCUAGCUUGGAGGUCCUGGGAGCCCUUCCCGAAGCUUCCAGCCUGGUGAACACCAACUCCUACCCCGCGAGGCUGAAGACUGCCACUCCAGGGGAAAGAGCUCUAGGCCUGUGCAAGCACAGAGCCGAAUGUUCUGGGAACACGGAAAGGAGAGGAAUUCAGUUUCAAUGGAGCCAAAGAAAAAGACAAAAUGCAAAUGUAAAGAUUUUUUAAAUGUUCAGCCCAAGAGCCAAGCUAACCUACCUUUGAUUUACCUGACUUAAAAACACGCACUCCAGAAAGCACUCAAAUAGGCUUCUGGCCAACAUGGAACAACGGAGACCAGAUUUAUUUGACAUCUGAAAUAAUGAAAACCAUGACACAAGCAUGACACACUAUUUGCCCAAGAGAAAUGAAAUCAUGUGCCCACACACAUUCUGGAUUACUAGCCUUAUUAGUAAUGGCCAAAGAAUGGAAACAACCCAAAUGUUCACCAGGAGAUGAAUGGGUCAACAAAUUGUGGUGCAUCCAUACAGUGGAAUACUAUACAGCAAUAAAAAAGGAACUUUCCAUUGAUCCAUGUGACAACAUGGACGAAUUUUAAAAUAUUCUCGUGGCGUGAAAGAGGCCAGACAAAAGUAGGGCUCUUUUAUACAUGAGUUAUUUUUUGUAUAUAAAAUACUUUAAAAUCAAAACUAAUCUAUAGAGACAGAAAGCAAAUCCAUGGUUGCUUGGGGGGUGCUGGUCAAGGUGGGGGUGGGCGAAUGAAAAGUGGGAUUAAAGGGGGUCAGGGGGAACUUCAGGGGGUCAGAGUAUGUUUAUCACCCUGGUUAUGGUGGCGGUUUCCUUGAUGAACCCAUACAUCAAAACUUAAGCCACUGUGCACUUGAGAUAUGCGCAGCUUACUGAAGGUCAACAGAGCUGUUGACAAAUCUUUUUCUAUUUCCACAUUACCUUCCACUGCUUCCCCCCUUUAAAAACGUUCAGUUUACUACAUUUAGAAUGGAUAAGCAAUGAGGUCCUGCUGUAAAGCACAGGGAACUAUAUCCAGUCUCUUGGGAUAGAACAUAAUGGAAGAUAAUAUGAGAAAAAGAAUGUGUCUAUGUCUGGGUCACAUUGCUGUACAGUUGAAAUCGGCACAACAUGGUAAAUCACCUCCACUUUAAUAAAACUAAAAAGAAUAAAAGACCAAAGAAAGAAUUGGAUUAAAACUAUUGUUUCAUAAAUAAAGAGAUGGAAAUAAGAAUAUUGAAGAAGAAUAUAUGUCUUCACAUACAUGACAAAACUUGAGAAACAUAAAACAUAAAACGUGAGCUCAGAGACGUAGACGUUGUCAUGUGCCUUUGAAAAGGGAAACGACUUCCUUUUCACUACUCGCCGAAUAUGUCACUUCUGGACACCCAAGGUGGCCGUUUUCCCACUCCAAGCAAUUUUGUGACAUCAGCUGGGCAUCCUACAGUUUAACUCAGUUCUGACACGAUCUACCUGCAGAUGCUACAGAUUAAGGGCUCAGCCCCACAAGACUGGCGUCCUUCCCCCAGCUGAGACACUAGUCUCAAAUUCAGGUUGUCACCUGGGCUUCUGACCAACUAGUUAGGAAUCAGAGGUUCUCAUGACCCCUCUUCAAAUUCAAUUCAUUUGUUAGGAUGACUUACAGAACUCAUGACAUGGUUUACUUCCUAGAUUCCUUGUUUAUUCUAAAAGCAUAUGUCCCAGGAACAAUCAGAUGGAAGAAUCGCACAGGACAUGGUGGGUGGGAAGGGGCAUGGGCUUCCUCUCCCUGUCUGGGGGCACCGCCCUCCCAGCACCUCCAGAUAUUCAGCACCCAGGAAGUUGAAAACCCCACAGUUCAGGAAUUUUUUAGGACCUUCAUUACUCGGGCAUCUCAUUACCAUCAACUCAGGGGUGCUUGAAAUUUGUUAUCAAUGACAAAAGGCACCCAUUUCACCUACAUUCCUAUUUCAGGAACCGGAAACAACAAUCAGGAUCACACAUAAGAUGCUCCUAUAGCUCUUUUACAGGGAAUUAUAGGAAGAGUUUUAGGUGUCAUGACUCAGCAACUGUGGACAAAGACCAAAACAUAUAUUUCACCAUAUCACAGCCCUCAUAUAUUUUUGGUGGGAGUCGCCAUAGGCUCAGCAUUCUGAGGGCAAUUUGCGAAUUCAUGUUUAUGGCCUUAAAAUGGGUCUAACAUGUGUCGAACAUGCCAUUUUAAGAAUUAGUUCUGAGGAUACCUCUUGUCUUAGGAUGUGGGAAAGACAUAGUUUGAAGGAUGUUAAUUCCAGCCCAGUUUAUAUUUGUGAACAAUUGCACGUAAUCUAUAUGGCGCGCAGUUGGAGCCUGGCUAAACAGUUAAUCAUAGAGUCACACAAAAAAUAGGUGCUCCAGAAACAGGUGCAAGACAUGGACUUGGGUCACAGUCUAUGAGAGGGAGCAGGAGGAAGCAGGAUUCCUCAAGAGCACAGUGAUGCAGGCCUGGCAAAGCCUUGACCAGCCCAAGGGGGCUCAGGCUGCAAUGGCCAGGCUUUUGGAACCGCCCCUCAGUCACUGGAUGCAGGCAAGAUGGGGGGGGGGGCGGCAGGAAUGGGAGGCGGGUCUGCUGGCCCCACUCAGCUGGGGCCGGCAAGACCUUCUUCCAGAGCCCAUCGCCCUGUCCACCACCAUCCUCAAGGCCUCCCCUUCUCUGCCCCUUCCUUCCUCUGCUCCCUCGUCUCCGUCUCUUGUCUCCACUGACUUUCAGAGUUAGUCUCUGUAUGCAGUGUUUAUUGUACAGUUAUUGUAGAACCCUCUGGAGGAAAAAGUGCUACUCAAAUUUAAUUAAUAGGAGAGACACUAAGUAAAAUGAGAUUCUGGAGAGAAUUCGGUGCAUGGGCACCAGAGCUACAUUCCUAGUAACUUAGUUUGCUCGGCUGGUGGGAGGAGAGGGAAGAGUUCCCGCCUCUCCCAGCAUCCACAGGAUGAGGCUUUGCAAACCACGAGCGGGGUUUUCCUCUGUGGGUUAGAAGUCAACGAACGGGCUUCCUGUGCUGUCACCCUCCUGUCUAGAUGCAGCUGGGGGCCAGGAUAUGAAUGUGUUUGUGUGUGUGUAUGUGUGCGUGUGUGUGUGGGGGGGGUGUUUAUUACCAGGAUGAGGACACGGGACAGCCUCUCUCUACUCUCCGUCUGGGGAGAGGUGGGUUGAGCAUCCAGGACCAGCCGCAGACAGAGCCCAUCCAGGAAGGAAGACCAUGAGUAUCGACCGAAACAUGGGCAUCGGGUCAGCGAGCCAGGGCUGGGCUGUGACAGAGGAGAAACCAUCAUUACGGAAGGAGACAGGCAGGUGGCCGUCUGUCUGAAUCUCCAUGUGAGUCUUAUCAUCAGGCAGUGAGUCAAAUGCAGAGCUGUGGUUUGACUUCUAAAAAACCAAAAGAUAUUAAUAAAACAAACAACUUUGUCAAAAACUAGAAAUCCUGCCAUGGCACAUAGCAGCACGGACGUGGGUCAAUGGUGUCUUUCAUGUCACCGGUGGGAGGGUAAACUGCUCAAGCAUUUGGGAAGCGAUCCGGCAUCCUCUGGCAGUGCUCAGCACCUGCCUUCUCUGUAUUUCAAACCAUCCACCCCAAGAAAAUGCCCCUGAGAAACGCUUGCACGAAUGCCCAGGAAAUAAGGUGGUAUG
Molecule: long non-coding RNA, 6793 nt
Filed under: Sus scrofa (pig)
Lineage: Eukaryota; Metazoa; Chordata; Mammalia; Artiodactyla; Suidae
Description: lncRNA (ENSSSCG00065048718.1)
Source: RNAcentral